This 458-nucleotide ribosomal RNA is filed under the name uncultured Syntrophus sp. RNAcentral's name for it is "bacterial SSU rRNA". It matches the Rfam family "Bacterial small subunit ribosomal RNA", at positions 921 to 1382 of the family's 1533-position model. The record is from RNAcentral. Lineage: Bacteria; Pseudomonadati; Thermodesulfobacteriota; Syntrophia; Syntrophales; Syntrophaceae.
CCGCACAGCGGUGGAGCAUGUGGUUAAUCGACGCAACGCGAAGAACCUUACCUGGGCUUGACAUCCGCGGAACCUCUAUGAAAGUAGGGGUGCCCCUCGGGGAGCCGCGAGACAGGUGCUGCAUGGCUGUCGUCAGCUCGUGUCGUGAGAUGUUGGGUUAAGUCCCGCAACGAGCGCAACCCUUGUCUUUAAUUGCCAUCAUUGAGUUGGGCACUUUAAAGAGACUGCCGGUGUUAAGCCGGAGGAAGGUGGGAUGACGUCAAGUCCUCAUGGCCUUUAUGUCCAGGGCUACACACGUGCUACAAUGGGUGGUACAAAGAGCAGCAAACUCGCGAGAGUAAGCGAAUCUCAAAAAGCCAUCCUCAGUUCGGAUUGGAGUCUGCAACUCGACUCCAUGAAGUUGGAAUCGCUAGUAAUCGCGGAUCAGCAUGCCGCGGUCGAAUACGUUCCCGGGCCUU